GAGUUUGAUCGUGGCUCAGAAUGAACGCUGGCGGCAUGCCUAACACAUGCAAGUCGAACGAAGGCUUCGGCCUUAGUGGCGCACGGUGCGUAACGCGUGGGAAUCUGCCCUUGGGUUCGGAAUAACAGUUAGAAAUGACUGCUAAUACCGGAUGAUGUCGUAAGACCAAAGAUUUAUCGCCCAAGGAUGAGCCCGCGUAGGAUUAGCUAGUUGGUGGGUAAAGGCCCACCAAGGCGACGAUCCUUAGCUGGUCUGAGAGGAUGAUCAGCCACACUGGGACUGAGACACGGCCCAGACUCCUACGGGAGGCAGCAGUGGGGAAUAUUGGACAAUGGGCGAAAGCCUGAUCCAGCAAUGCCGCGUGAGUGAUGAAGGCCUUAGGGUUGUAAAGCUCUUUUACCCGGGAUGAUAAUGACAGUACCGGGAGAAUAAAGCUCCGGCUAACUUCGUGCCAGCCGCGCCGU
This 464-nucleotide ribosomal RNA is filed under the name uncultured microorganism. RNAcentral describes it as "bacterial SSU rRNA". It matches the Rfam family "Bacterial small subunit ribosomal RNA", at positions 9 to 521 of the family's 1533-position model. The record is from RNAcentral.